Molecule: transfer RNA, 76 nt
Filed under: Candidatus Liptonbacteria bacterium CG11_big_fil_rev_8_21_14_0_20_35_14
Lineage: Bacteria; Candidatus Liptoniibacteriota
Description: tRNA-Gly
Rfam family: tRNA
About the family: Transfer RNA (tRNA) molecules are approximately 80 nucleotides in length. Their secondary structure includes four short double-helical elements and three loops (D, anti-codon, and T loops). Further hydrogen bonds mediate the characteristic L-shaped molecular structure. tRNAs have two regions of fundamental functional importance: the anti-codon, which is responsible for specific mRNA codon recognition, and the 3' end, to which the tRNAs corresponding amino acid is attached (by aminoacyl-tRNA synthetases). tRNAs cope with the degeneracy of the genetic code in two manners: having more than one tRNA (with a specific anti-codon) for a particular amino acid; and 'wobble' base-pairing, i.e. permitting non-standard base-pairing at the 3rd anti-codon position.
Source: RNAcentral
GCGGUAGUAGUUCAGUUGGUAGAACGCAACCUUGCCAAGGUUGAGGUCGCCAGUUCAAGUCUGGUCUACCGCUCCA